RNAcentral lists this ribosomal RNA (453 nucleotides) under uncultured organism. RNAcentral's name for it is "partial 16S ribosomal RNA". It matches the Rfam family "Bacterial small subunit ribosomal RNA", at positions 335 to 797 of the family's 1533-position model. The record is from RNAcentral.
ACUCCUGCGGGAGGCAGCAGUGGGGAAUAUUGCACAAUGGGCGCAAGCCUGAUGCAGCGACGCCGCGUGGGGGAUGAAGGCCUUCGGGUUGUAAACUCCUUUCGCUAGGGACGAAGCUUUUUUGUGACGGUACCUAGAUAAGAAGCACCGGCUAACUACGUGCCAGCAGCCGCGGUAAUACGUAGGGUGCGAGCGUUGUCCGGAAUUACUGGGCGUAAAGGGCUCGUAGGUGGUUUGUCGCGUCGUCUGUGAAAUUCUGGGGCUUAACUCCGGGCGUGCAGGCGAUACGGGCAUAACUUGAGUGCUGUAGGGGUAACUGGAAUUCCUGGUGUAGCGGUGAAAUGCGCAGAUAUCAGGAGGAACACCGAUGGCGAAGGCAGGUUACUGGGCAGUUACUGACGCUGAGGAGCGAAAGCAUGGGUAGCGAACAGGAUUAGAAACCCCUGUAGUCCC